AACGAACGCUGGCGGCAUGCCUAACACAUGCAAGUCGAACGAGACCUUCGGGUCUAGUGGCGCACGGGUGCGUGACGCGUGGGAACCUGCCCUUAGGUUCGGAAUCACUCACCGAAAGGGGUGCUAAUACCGGAUAAUGUCUUCGGACCAAAGAUUUAUCGCCUUUGGAUGGGCCCGCGUUGGAUUAGCUAGUUGGUAGGGUAAAAGCCUACCAAGGCGACGAUCCAUAGCUGGUCUGAUAGGAUGAUCAGCCACACUGGGACUGAGACACGGCCCAGACUCCUACGGGAGGCAGCAGUGGGGAGUAUUGGACAAGGGGCGAAAGCCUGGUCCAGCAGUGCCGCGUGAGUGAUGAAGGCCUUAGGGUUGUAAAGCUCUUUUACCCGGGAUGAUAAUGACAGUACCGGGAGAAUAAGCUCCGGCUAACUCCGUG
This 433-nucleotide ribosomal RNA is filed under the name uncultured bacterium. Its description in RNAcentral is "partial 16S ribosomal RNA". It matches the Rfam family "Bacterial small subunit ribosomal RNA", at positions 29 to 507 of the family's 1533-position model. The record is from RNAcentral.